AUUGAACGCUGGCGGCAGGCCUAACACAUGCAAGACGAACGGUAACAGGAAACAGCUUGCUGUUCCGCUGACGAGUGGCGGACGGGUGAGUAAUGUCUGGGAAACUGCCUGAUGGAGGGGGAUAACUACUGGAAACGGUAGCUAAUACCGCAUAACGUCGCAAGACCAAAGAGGGGGACCUUCGGGCCUCUUGCCAUCGGAUGUGCCCAGAUGGGAUUAGCUAGUAGGUGGGGUAACGGCUCACCUAGGCGACGAUCCCUAGCUGGUCUGAGAGGAUGACCAUCCACACUGAAACUGAGACACGGUCCAGACUCCUACGGGAGGCAGCAGUGGGGAAUAUUGCACAAUGGGCGCAAGCCUGAUGCAGCCAUGCCGCGUGUAUGAAGAGGGCCUUCGGGUUGUAAAGUACUUUCAGCGGGGAGGAAGGGAGUAAAGUCAAUACCUUUGCUCAUUGACGUUACCCGCAGAAGAAGCACCGGCUAACUCCGUGCCAGCCGCCGCAGUAA
Molecule: ribosomal RNA, 506 nt
Filed under: uncultured bacterium
Lineage: Bacteria
Description: partial 16S ribosomal RNA
Rfam family: Bacterial small subunit ribosomal RNA
Source: RNAcentral